UACAGAGGGUGCAAGCGUUGUUCGGAAUUAUUGGGCGUAAAGGGCGCGUAGGCGGUGCGGUAAGUCUGUAGUGAAAUCUCUGGGCUCAACUCAGAGUCUGCUGCAGAAACUGCCUGCUUGAGUGUGGGGAGAGGUGAGUGGAAUUCCCGGUGUAGCGGUGAAAAUGCGUAGAUAUCGGGAGGAACACCUGUGGCGAAAAGCGGCUCACUGGACCACAACUGACGCUGAGGCGCGAAAAGCUAGGGGGAGCAAACAGG
Molecule: ribosomal RNA, 257 nt
Filed under: uncultured bacterium
Lineage: Bacteria
Description: partial 16S ribosomal RNA
Rfam family: Bacterial small subunit ribosomal RNA
Source: RNAcentral